UUGUUCAAUUUGAUUGAUACUCCGACGCAUAGAAGCAGUGUUGGGUUGGCCAGCGGGGGCGCCGCCGCACGAAACGGCAGGGUCGCCCCCGAGGCAACGGUUUUGGUUCACAUGGGGUUGGAGGUCGGGCGUGAGCCCUCGCUCAGUAAUGAUCCCUCCGCAGGUUCACCUACGGAGA
RNAcentral lists this unclassified non-coding RNA (178 nucleotides) under uncultured fungus. Its description in RNAcentral is "sequence contains ITS1". The record is from RNAcentral. Lineage: Eukaryota; Fungi.